UCGAGAUCGCACUUUGCCUUUCAUUCUUUCAGGGGCGAAAAAAAUAAGUACCAGUUGAGCACUGAGGUCGAUGUAAUUGACUGACUCGCUCCUUUGGUAUUGCUAGCUUUUCACCAAUAUUUGAAACCAUUAAAUUUUAAUUCCACCAAAGUACGAUUGCCUUUAAUGGGAGUGGAAAUAACAGGGUAAAAAUGCUACACUUCAUUUAAAUACCCAACACGGAUGAGAUCUCAAUUCAGCUCACAAGAUGAAGAUCACUUUCAACUGAAUGGAGACGGAGGUGCCUUUUUGCUAUGAGAUGAGAGCUUGAAAUGAAACUGAAGAUGCCAGAAGAGUAAAGGUUUCUUGAUGUAGGGAAGCUACAUGGUUACACAAAUUAUAGAAGGAAGUCUUCUGUGAAGAACAUAUCUAGUGAGGAGGAAAUAUUAUCUUGCUUAGAAACAGUUGAGAGUUGGCAACAGGAAGAGCAUCUGGUCAUAGAAAAGCUACCUCAAUGAGUUCCAUUUGAACUGUACAAGGAUGGAACAGUAAAUGUUAAAUGGUAAUGAUGAUGAUGAUGAUGAUGAUGAUGAUGUGAUGGUGGUGGUGAUGAAGCCAGAAUAUACCAGCAAAAGUGGUGAGUGUGCUAAGAUUUGGCCUCUUUUUACUGAGAUCCAGGACAAAUCUGAAUGGAUUGAUCUGUAGUGACAUCAUCACUCAAAUAUAUGGAACAUGUUUACAUAUAAUUUCACUGGGUCACAUUUUUGUUGAUGUCAUUACUUAAUUUUAAUGAUUCUUUUACUGUAUAUGAAAUUUUUGCCAUUGGAAAACAAACAGUUCAGGUUCAAACUAGGACAGAAACUGACUACAAAUGUACAGUAAUGUGAAAUGAUAUAUAUUCUAUUAUUGCAGUAAUAGAAGAGCCAAAAAGAGAAAAGUGGAUGGCAAUAAGCCAAAAACUGAAGAAUUAUUGUUUUAUUUUUGUACUAUAAAGGGUUCAUUAGUCAAGGAAAUAAUUUGGUUUAUUGUAGUUAACUA
Molecule: long non-coding RNA, 1017 nt
Organism: Octopus bimaculoides (California two-spot octopus)
Lineage: Eukaryota; Metazoa; Mollusca; Cephalopoda; Octopoda; Octopodidae
Source: RefSeq, a predicted model, not a curated record